UUAUCUUGUUGGAACACGCUGGGAGUGAAGAAAACGUUGAGAAAGUCAAACGGAAUUUCUUUUUGAAGAUUUACGCGUCGAUGUGGAGUUGUAUUACGUUCUGCAGUCUUUGCUCAAUGUUUUUGUGUGCUGCUAGUUGUACACAGACAUGUCGGCUGUUUACUGUGAUGUUUUGUGAUAAAAUUAUCAAGGAGAAUAUUGAUAUUCCAUUGAAUUUAGCGCAAAAUCAAGUGCAGUUUACGAUUGGGUCUAAAAGUACGAUGAAUAUUGAACUUUUAUUUAAGAUUUUGGGUGCAAUUGUUACUAAUUUGGUGAUAUUAACACAAUUUAGCAAGCAGGUUUAGUGUGGAUUACUUUUGGGUUGUGUGAUUAACCCAAUUAGUAUCAUAAUCUUAUUAAAAUUGAUUUAAUUCGCUUUGUAAGUAAGCAUUUCCUUGUUAGUUGGGAUAAUUUUAAAUUGACCGCAUUGGGUGUAAUUAGCGCCAACUGGCGGUGAAUGUUGGAACUAAAACAUUUGGUAUUUAUUGACACACUCAAUUCGUACUUUCA
Dalotia coriaria is the source of this 549-nucleotide long non-coding RNA. RefSeq lists it as uncharacterized. The record is from RefSeq and is a predicted model, not a curated record. The transcript is spliced from 3 exons. Lineage: Eukaryota; Metazoa; Arthropoda; Insecta; Coleoptera; Staphylinidae.